GUGUUUGCUUUGGCAUCACAUAUACUAAAAUUGGAAUGACACCAAGAGUAUUAGCAUGGCCUCUCCACUAGAUGGCACAAAAAUUGGUGAAAAGUUUGCAAUUUUU
This is a small nuclear RNA of Meriones unguiculatus (Mongolian gerbil), 106 nucleotides long. Lineage: Eukaryota; Metazoa; Chordata; Mammalia; Rodentia; Muridae. The record is from Ensembl.